This 586-nucleotide long non-coding RNA is filed under the name Homo sapiens (human). RNAcentral describes it as "HSALNT0373844". Lineage: Eukaryota; Metazoa; Chordata; Mammalia; Primates; Hominidae. The record is from RNAcentral.
GUUACUGCUUCUGCCUGCUCAGCCUCCUUCCCCGAUCUCUUAAUUCUCUAUAUCUUCUGUUCUCAACUUAACUCCACCCAUUAAAUCAUCAAAGAAGCUGAUUUGGGCUUUUCUCGGAGUUGAAAGUGAUAACACACCACCACAUGGUCAAGUGAAUCAUAACCUGCUGGGGCUUGAGGUAUGGAAGACGAACAGUGGAGGAAAAGGUAUCUUCCAGCCUGGUGAAAUGCCGUGGAAAUGUGAGGCCAUUUAUUUUUUCUAAAUGCCCCAGCAACAGCUCUCAUUCACUUGCAGAAGCAAGAGCUGUUCUGACUACUCACAGUAUAUGGUGAGAUCUUUAUUUCUUUGCCUUUUUUUUUACUGUGAGUUUCCUUUUUUGUCAUCAUUGACCUUAUAAUGAAUCACUGCACUGUCUGAGUAAUGAGGCUGCAGUAGAUAAGGUCUCCUGAGAAUAUGAAGGAAGAAGUAUGUUCAGCAACUGAUUACUGACUUAUCCACCUGAUUAUAGUGACCAAUCUACUCAUAUAUCUGAUUUCAAAUGCCCAAUACAAUGUUAAUAAUCUUAUUAAAACUUCUUUGCAGUAAA